Molecule: ribosomal RNA, 254 nt
Filed under: uncultured bacterium
Lineage: Bacteria
Description: partial 16S ribosomal RNA
Rfam family: Bacterial small subunit ribosomal RNA
Source: RNAcentral
UACGUAGGGUGCAGGCGUUAAUCGGAAUUACUGGGCGUAAAGCGUGCGCAGGCGGUUUCUUAAGUCAGAUGUGAAAGCCCCGGGCUUAACCUGGGAACUGCGUUUGAAACUGUUAGGCUCGAGUCAGCUAGAGGUACACGGAACUUCCAGUGGAGCGGUGAAAUGUGUUGAUAUUGGAAGGAACACCGGAGGCGAAAGACGGUGUGAACUGGGGCCUGGUCUGACGCUGAGGCACGGAAAGCCAGGGGAGCGAA